UAAAGGGCCGCGGUAUUUUGACCGUGCAAAGGUAGCAUAAUCAUUAGUCUCUUAAUUAGAGGCUGGAAUGAAUGGUUUGACGAGAAAUUAACUGUCUCUUAAUAAGUUUUAAAAUUUAACUUUUGAGUUAAAAGGCUUAAAUUUUUCUUUAGGACGAGAAGACCCUAUAGAGCUUGACAUUUUAAUUUUAUAUUUUUUUAAGAUAGGUCUUUUUAUAUUUAAUGAUAAUGUUUUGUUGGGGUGACAUGAAGAAUUAAGAAACUCUUUAUUAUAAAAUCGUUAAUUUAUGUUUAUUUUGAUCCAUAAUUUAUGAUCAUAAGAUUAAGUUACCUUAGGGAUAACAGCGUAAUUGUUUUUGAGAGCUCAUAUUGACAAAGCAGAUUGCGACCUCGAUGUUGGAUUAAGAAAAAUUUUGGGUGUAGUA
Molecule: ribosomal RNA, 424 nt
Filed under: Aeropedellus variegatus
Lineage: Eukaryota; Metazoa; Arthropoda; Insecta; Orthoptera; Acrididae
Description: partial large subunit ribosomal RNA
Rfam family: Archaeal large subunit ribosomal RNA
Source: RNAcentral